RNAcentral lists this ribosomal RNA (478 nucleotides) under uncultured bacterium. Its description in RNAcentral is "partial 16S ribosomal RNA". It matches the Rfam family "Bacterial small subunit ribosomal RNA", at positions 28 to 507 of the family's 1533-position model. The record is from RNAcentral.
GAUGAACGCUGGCGGCGUGCCUAACACAUGCAAGUCGAACGGAUUCCAGCCUUUAAGACCUUCGUUUCAAAGAGGGGAAGACUGAGUUGCGUACGGGUGAGUAUCACGUUGGCAACCUGGCUCAUAGAGCGGGCUAUCAUAGCGCAUUUUCUGCUAAUACCGCAUAAGCACACACUGCCGCAUCGCACUGGGUGAAAAGAGAAUCGCUAUUAGAGGGACCCGCGUCGGAUUAGCCUGCUGGCAGGGUAAGAGCCUACCAAAGCGACGAUCAGUAGCCGAUAAGAGAGGAUGAACGGCGACAUUGGGACGGAGACACGGCCCAAACUACUACGGGAAGCAGGAGAGGGGGAUAUAGCAAAAUGGGGGGAACCAUGAUGCAGCGAGGACGCGAGAGUGAAGAAGUAUGUCGGUAUGUAAAGCUCUAUCAGAAGGGAAGAUAAUGACAGUACCAGAAUAAGAAGCACCGGCUAACUACGUG